RNAcentral lists this ribosomal RNA (253 nucleotides) under uncultured bacterium. Its description in RNAcentral is "partial 16S ribosomal RNA". It matches the Rfam family "Bacterial small subunit ribosomal RNA", at positions 524 to 776 of the family's 1533-position model. The record is from RNAcentral.
UACGUAGGGCGCAAGCGUUAUCCGGAAUUAUUGGGCGUAAAGAGCUCGUAGGCGGUUUGUCGCGUCUGCCGUGAAAGUCCGGGGCUCAACUCCGGAUCUGCGGUGGGUACGGGCAGACUAGAGUGAUGUAGGGGAGACUGGAAUUCCUGGUGUAGCGGUGAAAUGCGCAGAUAUCAGGAGGAACACCGAUGGCGAAGGCAGGUCUCUGGGCCGCUACUGACGCUGAGAAGCGAAAGCAUGGGGAGCGAACAGG